This is an RNA transcript of Carlito syrichta (Philippine tarsier), 465 nucleotides long. It is a transcript of the gene named immunoglobulin heavy variable 3-74-like, with no coding region annotated. NCBI's taxonomy places the organism in Eukaryota, Metazoa, Chordata, Mammalia, Primates, Tarsiidae. The record is from RefSeq and is a predicted model, not a curated record. The transcript is spliced from 2 exons.
AUGGAGGUUAUUCUCAGUUGGGUUACUCUUGUUGCUGUUUUAAAAGGUGUCCAUUGUGAUGUGCAGCUGGUGGAGUCUGGGGGAGGCUGGUGCAGCCUGGGGGAUCUCUGAGACUCUCCUGUUCAGUAUCUGGAUUCACUUUCAGUAGACAUGGCAUGAACUGGGUCCGCCAGGCUCCAGGGAAGGGGUUUGAGUGGGUCUCAUCCAUUAGUUAUGAUGGUAGUAGCACAAGCUAUGCAGAAUCUGUGAAGGGCCGAUUCACCAUCUCCAGAGACAAUGCCAAGGACAUGCUGUAUCUGCAAUUGAACAGCCUGAGAGCUGAGGACACAUCCAUAUAUUACUGUGCUAGAGACACAGUAAGGAGAUGUCAGUGUGAGCCUAGACAUAAACUUCCCUGCACGGACUCUGGGUUGAAAUCAACUGCAGGUGAUAAGCAGGAUUCACUGGUCAGAGUCAAGCCCACAA